Molecule: ribosomal RNA, 497 nt
Filed under: uncultured bacterium
Lineage: Bacteria
Description: partial 16S ribosomal RNA
Rfam family: Bacterial small subunit ribosomal RNA
Source: RNAcentral
GAUGAACGCUGGCGGCGUGCCUAAUACAUGCAAGUCGAGCGAACAGACGAGGAGCUUGCUCCUCUGACGUUAGCGGCGGACGGGUGAGUAACACGUGGAUAACCUACCUAUAAGACUGGGAUAACUUCGGGAAACCGGAGCUAAUACCGGAUAAUAUAUUGAACCGCAUGGUUCAAUAGUGAAAGACGGUUUUGCUGUCACUUAUAGAUGGAUCCGCGCCGCAUUAGCUAGUUGGUAAGGUAACGGCUUACCAAGGCAACGAUGCGUAGCCGACCUGAGAGGGUGAUCCGCCCCACUUGAACUGAGACACGGUCCAGACUCCUACGGGAAGCAGCAGUAGGGAAUCUUCCCCAAUGGGCGAAAGCCUUGCGGAGCAACGCCGCGUUAGUGAUGAAGGUCUUCGGAUCGUAAAACUCUGUUAUUAGGGAAGAACAAAUGUGUAAGUAACUAUGCACGUCUUGACGGUACCUAAUCAGAAAGCCACGGCUAACUACGUG